This 70-nucleotide transfer RNA is filed under the name Nippostrongylus brasiliensis. It matches the Rfam family "tRNA". From Rfam's summary of the family: Transfer RNA (tRNA) molecules are approximately 80 nucleotides in length. Their secondary structure includes four short double-helical elements and three loops (D, anti-codon, and T loops). The record is from Rfam by way of RNAcentral. Lineage: Eukaryota; Metazoa; Nematoda; Chromadorea; Rhabditida; Heligmosomidae.
GUCUCACUAGCAUGGUGGUUAGUGCACAACCCCCAAUAAGUUGUCGCGGGUUCGAAUCCCGCCUGAGAUG